GGUUAAGCGACUAAGCGUACACGGUGGAUGCCCUGGCAGUCAGAGGCGAUGAAGGGCGUGCUAAUCUGCGAUAAGCGCCGGUAAGGUGAUAUGAACCGUUAUAACCGGCGAUACCCGAAUGGGGAAACCCAGUGUGAUUCGUCACACUAUCAUUAACUGAAUCCAUAGGUUAAUGAGGCGAACCGGGGGAACUGAAACAUCUAAGUACCCCGAGGAAAAGAAAUCAACCGAGAUUCCCCCAGUAGCGGCGAGCGAACGGGGAGGAGCCCAGAGCCUGAAUCAGCAUGUGUGUUAGUGGAAGCGUCUGGAAAGGCGCGCGAUACAGGGUGACAGCCCCGUA
This 340-nucleotide ribosomal RNA is filed under the name Salmonella enterica. RNAcentral's name for it is "partial 23S ribosomal RNA". It matches the Rfam family "Bacterial large subunit ribosomal RNA", at positions 1 to 377 of the family's 2925-position model. The record is from RNAcentral. Lineage: Bacteria; Pseudomonadati; Pseudomonadota; Gammaproteobacteria; Enterobacterales; Enterobacteriaceae.